RNAcentral lists this ribosomal RNA (494 nucleotides) under uncultured bacterium. RNAcentral's name for it is "bacterial SSU rRNA". It matches the Rfam family "Bacterial small subunit ribosomal RNA", at positions 52 to 518 of the family's 1533-position model. The record is from RNAcentral.
UACAUGCAAGUCGAACGGUCUUUCUAUGGAAGCUUGCUUCCACUGAGAAGAUAGUGGCGAACGGGUGAGUAACACGUGGGUAACCUGCCCAUAAGAGGGGGAUAACAUCCGGAAACGGGUGCUAAUACCGCAUAGUUUUCUUGAUUGCAUGAUUGAGAAAGGAAAGACGGCCUUUGUGCUGUCGCUUAUGGAUGGACCCGCGGCGUAUUAGUUAGUUGGUGAGGUAACGGCUCACCAAGACGAUGAUACGUAGCCGACCUGAGAGGGUGAUCGGCCACAUUGGGACUGAGACACGGCCCAAACUCCUACGGGAGGCAGCAGUAGGGAAUCUUCCGCAAUGGACGAAAGUCUGACGGAGCAACGCCGCGUGAGUGAAGAAAGGGUUUUCGGAUCGUAAAACUCUGUUGUCAGAGAAGAACAAGUUGGAGAGUAACUGCUCCAGCCUUGACGGUAUCUGACCAGAAAGCCACGGCUAACUACGUGCCAGCCGCCGC